GUCUGACCUGCCCACUGAAAUUUUUAAAUGGCCGCAGUAUUUUAACUGUGCAAAGGUAGCAUAAUCAUUAGUCUUUUAAUUGAAGGCUGGAAUGAAUGGUUGAAUGAAAUAUUAACUGUUUCAAUUUAAUUUAUAUAGAAUUUUAUUUUUUAGUCAAAAAGCUAAAAUUUAAUUAAAAGACGAGAAGACCCUAUAAAUCUUUAUAAUUUAUUUUUUAUAAAUUUAUAGAAAAUUUUAUUUCUAAAAAAUUAAAUUAUUUUAUUGGGGUGAUAUUAAAAUUUAAUAAACUUUUAAUUAUUAAUAAACAUUAAUUAAUGAAUUAUUGAUCCAUUAUAUUAUGAUUAAAAUAUUAAGUUACUUUAGGGAUAACAGCGUAAUUUUUUUAGAGAGUUCAUAUUGAUAAAAAAGAUUGCGACCUCGAUGUUGGAUUAAGAUACAAAUUUAGAUGCAGCAGUUUAAAUUU
This 463-nucleotide ribosomal RNA is filed under the name Conicera kempi. RNAcentral describes it as "partial 16S ribosomal RNA". Lineage: Eukaryota; Metazoa; Arthropoda; Insecta; Diptera; Phoridae. The record is from RNAcentral.